This is a long non-coding RNA of Hirundo rustica (Barn swallow), 262 nucleotides long. RefSeq lists it as uncharacterized. The transcript has 3 exons. The record is from RefSeq and is a predicted model, not a curated record. Lineage: Eukaryota; Metazoa; Chordata; Aves; Passeriformes; Hirundinidae.
UCUGACACUAAGUAAGUCUUUAUUUACUUAUGAAGCUGUGAGACAGCUAAAUUAAAGCUGAUUAGCAAGAUGGCAGCUCUGCUGCUUGUAGCUGAGUUGAGUCUGUUGGAGAUGGCCGCCCUUCUGUAACCACUCCUCAGUGUCACGAGUGAAGGCAGAGAUGCCAGUUCAUCGCUGGCACAAGAAGAGCCAGUGGCAUUGACUUAAGCCAGGUUACACCUUUUAUGACGUUAAUGUCAGCAGUGGUUUGGGCCCUUUUGCU